CAGUAGGGAAUCUUCGGCAAUGGACGAAAGUCUGACCGAGCAACGCCGCGUGAGUGAAGAAGGUUUUCGGAUCGUAAAACUCUGUUGUUAGAGAAGGACAAGGAUGAGAGUAACUGUUCAUCCCUUGACGGUAUCUAACCAGAAAGCCACGGCUAACUACGUGCCAGCAGCCGCGGUAAUACGUAGGUGGCAAGCGUUGUCCGGAUUUAUUGGGCGUAAAGCGAGCGCAGGCGGUUUCUUAAGUCUGAUGUGAAAGC
RNAcentral lists this ribosomal RNA (257 nucleotides) under Enterococcus sp. enrichment culture clone M6C3. RNAcentral describes it as "partial 16S ribosomal RNA". It matches the Rfam family "Bacterial small subunit ribosomal RNA", at positions 352 to 601 of the family's 1533-position model. The record is from RNAcentral. Lineage: Bacteria; Bacillati; Bacillota; Bacilli; Lactobacillales; Enterococcaceae.